GACGAACGCUGGCGGCGUGCCUAAUACAUGCAAGUAGAACGCUGAAGGAGGAGCUUGCUUUUCCGGAUGAGUUGCGAACGGGUGAGUAACGCGUAGGUAACCUGCCUGGUAGCGGGGGAUAACUAUUGGAAACGAUAGCUAAUACCGCAUAAGAGUAGAUGUUGCAUGACAUUUGCUUAAAAGGUGCAAUUGCAUCACUACCAGAUGGACCUGCGUUGUAUUAGCUAGUUGGUGAGGUAACGGCUCACCAAGGCGACGGUACAUAGCCGACCUGAGAGGGUGAUCGGCCACACUGGGACUGAGACACAGCCCAGACUCCUACGGGAGGCAGCAGUAGGGAAUCUUCGGCAAUGGACGGAAGUCUGACCGAGCAACGCCGCGUGAGUGAAGAAGGUUUUCGGAUCGUAAAGCUCUGUUGUAAGGGAAGAACGGGUGUGAGGGUGGAAAGUUCACACUGUGACGGUAUCUUACCAGAAAGGGACGGCUAACUACGUG
RNAcentral lists this ribosomal RNA (495 nucleotides) under uncultured bacterium. Its description in RNAcentral is "partial 16S ribosomal RNA". It matches the Rfam family "Bacterial small subunit ribosomal RNA", at positions 28 to 507 of the family's 1533-position model. The record is from RNAcentral.